Molecule: long non-coding RNA, 521 nt
Organism: Mauremys reevesii (Reeves's turtle)
Lineage: Eukaryota; Metazoa; Chordata; Testudines; Geoemydidae
Exons: 2
Source: RefSeq, a predicted model, not a curated record
CCAGGGCUGCCAGUUCAACUCACAAGCUCAGAAACAUACCACCAAAGACAGGUUGGUUGCCUCAAAUCAGAGGUGCUGCUCCAGCUGCCAAGAGCCUGCAAGCCAUAACCUUAACAAGCAAUGGCAAGAUACAAACGCAGCAGGAGCAAAAGCAGGAAUUGUCGCUGGAGGCGACCCAGAGGAGGUCGCGGAGGGGGAUAUAGAAGGAGUAGAAGGAAGAAAUAUGGUAGAAGGAGGAGAGGUCGCAGAGGUAGAUCGAGGAGGAGAAGCAGUAGGAGGAGCAGUAGGAGCGAGAGGAGGAGGAGAAGGAGAAGGAGGAGAAUGAGCUAUUAAACUCCAGAUGGCUUCCUGUUCUCCUGUACUCAUAAACUUGAAAGUCAUCAACCAUUAUCUUCAACUUCUGCUCAUCAAAAUGGCAUAAAAAAUAAAAAAAAAAUCCUUCCAUCAAAACCCUAGCAAUGACCUCCCAAGAUGCAAGCAGUUUGAACAGUGCCACCUCUCAAUAAACUUGUGAAACUUCA